CAAAGAACCAUCCUAAUCCGCCACACAUCACCAUCUCCAUCUAGAUCCACCACACCAUCACACCGCCUCCAUCCAGAUCCGCCACACCAUACCACCACCUCCAUCUGAAUUGCCACACAACACCUCCGCCUCCAUCUAGAUCUGCGACAACCACCACCACCGAAAGAAAAAACGUUAUUGUACGGUGAAGAAAGUCAAGGAUGAACUUAUUUUGGAUGGAAAUGACAUUGAGCUUGUUUCCAAAUUGUGUGCCUUGAUUAACCAGAAAUGUCAUGUGAAGAACAAAGAUAUCAGAAAGUUUCUUGAUGGUAUUUAUGUCAGUAACAAGGCAAAGAUAGAUGCGGGUGACAAUUAGUCGGUGGUUGUUAAUGGUGAUGGGUGGUGGUCUUUGAGAGGAAGAGAGAUAGGUGGUGCUAGUGAGGUGUUUAGGUGGUCGUUGUGAUGGUGGCUUGGGUGGUGGCCGGAUGGUGGUUGGAAUGUCAUUGGUGAAGCUUUAGGCUAAAAGUUAGGGAGAAAGAGGGUGUUGACUUGAAAGAGGUUAUUUAGCAACUACGGAAUAGGCUGGAGCUGCUCGGUCUUGACAUAUUGGAAUUUGCAACUUCACCGAAAAAUAUCUUAUUAGGCUUAAGUCACCUUUUAUAUAUUCGAUCCGCCUGUGGAUUUUAGUAUGACUUGUAUAAUAUUUUUGUACUUUAUUUUAUUUACUUUAAAUUUUCAUCU
Molecule: long non-coding RNA, 720 nt
Filed under: Helianthus annuus (common sunflower)
Lineage: Eukaryota; Viridiplantae; Streptophyta; Magnoliopsida; Asterales; Asteraceae
Description: hypothetical non coding rna
Source: RNAcentral